Sycon ciliatum is the source of this 642-nucleotide long non-coding RNA. RefSeq lists it as uncharacterized. NCBI's taxonomy places the organism in Eukaryota, Metazoa, Porifera, Calcarea, Leucosolenida, Sycettidae. The record is from RefSeq and is a predicted model, not a curated record. The transcript is spliced from 3 exons.
CGCUUCUAUAGGACGAGAGGUCGUUACAAGGAAAACCCAUUGCCCGGAACAGUCAUUGACGAUGUCGUUACGCGCGAAAAAUGGUAUGACUUCUUUCUCUGUAGUCAGAGUGUCAACCAAGGCACCGUGACUCCGACCCAUUACAACAUUAUCUUUGAUACUUGGAAAGGAGCGAAUAAUACAGAAUUGACGCCGAACCAAAUCCAGUCGCACACCUACCUUCAAACACACAAUUACUACAAUUGGCCGGGUACGAUAAGAGUACCAGCACAAUGCCAGUAUGCUCACAAGCUAGCCUAUCUGGUCGGCGAACACACCAUCCAUUUGCCGAACCCACAUCUCGAUAACCGUCUAUACUACCUCUAAUCGGCCUACUCCCACUGUAGCUGUGUUUCCACUGGACUAUGGAGAAACAGCCCUGCAUGGCAGCUAGCUUAUCUGGUAGGCGGAAAAUACCGUUGAAUUGCCUCUGAUCGGCCUGCUCACAGUGUGUCUCCACGGAACUAUGGAUGAACAGCCCUGCAUGGCAGUGCACUGCAUCAUGCGGCAGCUGAAAAAGAGGAACAGACAUUUGACUUUUCCAUUCAAUUCUACUGAUACAGUUUAAGUUGCUUUUCACAUUUGGAGUUUCUGUAAAACCUU